CAAAGGGUGGCGUAUGAGUUGUGGAUCAUGAGUACAUGUCUGGAAGUCUGAGAU
RNAcentral lists this small nucleolar RNA (54 nucleotides) under Mus musculus (house mouse). Its description in RNAcentral is "MBII-343 snoRNA". It matches the Rfam family "Small nucleolar RNA SNORD113/SNORD114 family", at positions 15 to 70 of the family's 74-position model. Rfam says of the family: The imprinted human domain at 14q32 contains two clusters of tandemly repeated small nucleolar RNAs named 14q(I) and 14q(II) snoRNAs. The record is from RNAcentral. Lineage: Eukaryota; Metazoa; Chordata; Mammalia; Rodentia; Muridae.